UGCACACACAGCAAUGGAGUAAUGGCG
Molecule: non-coding RNA, 27 nt
Filed under: Homo sapiens (human)
Lineage: Eukaryota; Metazoa; Chordata; Mammalia; Primates; Hominidae
Source: RNAcentral